UCCGAGUUGGCCCCGGCAGUCUCCUACGAGUCCCCGGCUUUACCCGCUGGCAACUAGGAAAAGGGGUUGCGCUCGUUGCGCCACUUAAGGCAACACCUCACGACACGAGCUGACGACAGCCAUGCAACACCUUUAUGCGUUCCACCGGUUAAGGCGUCACUCUACUUUCAUAGAGCUAAUCCGCACACUUCGAGCCCGGGUAAGGUUCUUCGCGUUGCAUCGAAUUAAGCAACAUGCUCCACCGCUUGUGUGUGCCCCCGUCAAUUCCUUUGAGUUUUAGCCUUGCGGCCGUACUCCCCAGGCGGGGCACUUAAUGCGUUAGCUUCGGCACGGACGGAGUCGACACCGCCCACACCUAGUGCCCAUCGUUUACGGCGUGGACUAC
RNAcentral lists this unclassified non-coding RNA (385 nucleotides) under uncultured bacterium. Its description in RNAcentral is "contains 16S-23S intergenic spacer region". The record is from RNAcentral.